This 253-nucleotide ribosomal RNA is filed under the name uncultured prokaryote. RNAcentral's name for it is "partial 16S ribosomal RNA". It matches the Rfam family "Bacterial small subunit ribosomal RNA", at positions 525 to 777 of the family's 1533-position model. The record is from RNAcentral.
ACGUAGGGUGCGAGCGUUAAUCGGAAUUACUGGGCGUAAAGGGUGCGCAGGCGGUAUCGUAAGUCAGAUGUGAAAUCCCCGGGCUUAACCUGGGAACUGCGUUUGAAACUGCGAUGCUAGAGUAUGUCAGAGGGGGGUGGAAUUCCACGUGUAGCAGUGAAAUGCGUAGAGAUGUGGAGGAACACCAAUGGCGAAGGCAGCCUUCUGGGCCAACACUGACGCUCAUGCACGAAAGCGUGGGGAGCAAACAGGA